GAUGACGAAGACUACAAUCCACAUGCCCAUACUUAGUUGUUUCUUUUGUUUACAUCAAGUUGUAAUCCGUCCUACUUAAUUAGUUAGUUCGUUGUCUCCCAACUUUACUGUAUUGUACAUCAAGUUGUUUCAUUUGUUUACAUUUAGUUGGUGUUUCUUUUAUUUACAUCAAGAUGUUGUUUCAUUUGUUUACAUCUACUUGUAUAAUCCGUC
RNAcentral lists this long non-coding RNA (213 nucleotides) under Brachypodium distachyon (stiff brome). RNAcentral's name for it is "long non-coding RNA (BDIS_LNC003517)". The record is from RNAcentral. Lineage: Eukaryota; Viridiplantae; Streptophyta; Magnoliopsida; Poales; Poaceae.